AUUGAACGCUAGCGGGAUGCUUUACACAUGCAAGUCGAACGGCAGCGCGGACUUCGGUCUGGCGGCGAGUGGCGAACGGGUGAGUAAUGUAUCGGAAUGUGCCCAGUAGCGGGGGAUAACUACGCGAAAGCGUAGCUAAUACCGCAUACGCCCUGCGGGGGAAAGCAGGGGAUCGUAAGACCUUGCACUAUUGGAGCGGCCGAGGUCGGAUUAGCUAGUUGGUGGGGUAACGGCUUACCAAGGCGACGAUCCGUAGCUGGUUUGAGAGGACGAUCAGUCACACUGGAACUGAGACACGGCCCAGACUCCUACGGGAGGCAGCAGUGGGGAAUUUUGGACAAUGGGGGAAACCCUGAUCCAGCCAUCCCGCGUGUGCGAUGAAGGCCUUCGGGUUGUAAAGCACUUUUGGCAGGGAAGAAACGUCGCGGGCUAAUACCCCGUGGAACUGACGGUACCUGCAGAAUAAGCACCGGCUAACUACGUG
RNAcentral lists this ribosomal RNA (484 nucleotides) under uncultured bacterium. Its description in RNAcentral is "partial 16S ribosomal RNA". It matches the Rfam family "Bacterial small subunit ribosomal RNA", at positions 30 to 507 of the family's 1533-position model. The record is from RNAcentral.